RNAcentral lists this ribosomal RNA (719 nucleotides) under uncultured bacterium. Its description in RNAcentral is "bacterial SSU rRNA". It matches the Rfam family "Bacterial small subunit ribosomal RNA", at positions 59 to 792 of the family's 1533-position model. The record is from RNAcentral.
CAGUCGAACGAGAGAAGAGAAGCUUGCUUUUCUGAUCUAGUGGCGGACGGCUGUGUAACACGUGAGCAAUCUGCCUUUCAGAGGGGGAUACCGAUUGGAAACGAUCGUUAAUACCGCAUAACAUAAUUGAACCGCAUGAUUUGAUUAUCAAAGAUUUAUCGCUGAAAGAUGAGCUCGCGUCUGAUUAGCUAGUUGGUAAGGUAACGGCUUACCAAGGCGACGAUCAGUAGCCGGACUGAGAGGUUGAUCGGCCACAUUGGGACUGAGACACGGCCCAGACUCCUACGGGAGGCAGCAGUGGGGAAUAUUGCACAAUGGAGGAAACUCUGAUGCAGCGAUGCCGCGUGAGGGAAGAAGGUUUUAGGAUUGUAAACCUCUGUCUUCAGGGACGAAAAAAGACGGUACCUGAGGAGGAAGCUCCGGCUAACUACGUGCCAGCAGCCGCGGUAAUACGUAGGGAGCGAGCGUUGUCCGGAAUUACUGGGUGUAAAGGGAGCGUAGGCGGGAUCGCAAGUCAGAUGUGAAAACUAUGGGCUUAACCCAUAAACUGCAUUUGAAACUAUGGUUCUUGAGUGAAGUAGAGGUAAGCGGAAUUCCUAGUGUAGCGGUGAAAUGCGUAGAUAUUAGGAGGAACAUCAGUGGCGAAGGCGGCUUACUGGGCUUUAACUGACGCUGAGGCGCGAAAGCGUGGGGAGCAAACAGGAUUAGAUACCCUGGUA